This 454-nucleotide ribosomal RNA is filed under the name uncultured bacterium. RNAcentral describes it as "bacterial SSU rRNA". It matches the Rfam family "Bacterial small subunit ribosomal RNA", at positions 328 to 793 of the family's 1533-position model. The record is from RNAcentral.
CUCUGUGACUCCUACGGGAGGCAGCAGUGGGGAAUAUUGCACAAUGGGCGCAAGCCUGAUGCAGCAACGCCGCGUGAGCGAUGAAGGCCUUCGGGUCGUAAAGCUCUGUCCUCAAGGAAGAAUAAAUGACGGUACUUGAGGAGGAAGCCCCGGCUAACUACGUGCCAGCAGCCGCGGUAAUACGUAGGGGGCAAGCGUUAUCCGGAAUCACUGGGCGUAAAGGGUGCGUAGGCGGUUUUUCAAGUCAGAAGUGAAAGGCUAUGGCUCAACCAUAGUAAGUCUUUUAGAAACUAGUUAAACUUGAGUGCAGGAGAGGAAAGUGGAAUUCCUAGUGUAGAGGUAGAAAUUCGUAGAUAUUAGGAGGAACACCAGUGGCGAAGGCGUACUUUCUGGACUGUAACUGACGCUGAGGCACGAAAGCGUGGGGAGCGAACAGGAUUAGAUACCCUGGUAG